AGUGAACGCUGGCGGUAGGCCUAACACAUGCAAGUCGAACGGCAGCACAGGAGAGCUUGCUCUCUGGGUGGCGAGUGGCGGACGGGUGAGGAAUACACCGGAAUCUACUCUGUCGUGGGGGAUAACGUAGGGAAACUUACGCUAAUACCGCAUACGACCUACGGGUGAAAGCAGGGGACCUUCGGGCCUUGCGCGAUUGAAUGAGCCGAUGUCGGAUUAGCUAGUUGGCGGGGUAAAGGCCCACUAAGGCGACGAUCCGUAGCUGGUCUGAGAGGAUGAUCAGCCACGCGGGAACUGAGACACGGGCGAGGCUCCUACGGGAGGCAGCAGUGGGGAAUAUUGGACAAUGGGCGCAAGCCUGAUCCAGCCAUACCGCGUGGGUGAAGAAGGCCUUCGGGUUGUAAAUCCCUUUUGUUGGGAAAGAAAUCCAGCUGGCUAAUACCCGGUUGGGAUGACGGUACCCAAAGAAUAAGCACCGGCUAACUUCGUGCCAGCCGCCGCCGUAA
RNAcentral lists this ribosomal RNA (506 nucleotides) under uncultured bacterium. RNAcentral describes it as "partial 16S ribosomal RNA". It matches the Rfam family "Bacterial small subunit ribosomal RNA", at positions 29 to 523 of the family's 1533-position model. The record is from RNAcentral.